GACGAACGCUGGCGGCGUGCUUAACACAUGCAAGUCGAACGGAAAGGCCCUGCUUUUGUGGGGUGCUCGAGUGGCGAACGGGUGAGUAACACGUGAGUAACCUGCCCUUGACUUUGGGAUAACUUCAGGAAGCUGGGGCUAAUACCGGAUAGGAGCUCCUGCUGCAUGGUGGGGGUUGGAAAGUUUCGGCGGUUGGGGAUGGACUCGCGGCUUAUCAGCUUGUUGGUGGGGUAGUGGCUUACCAAGGCUUUGACGGGUAGCCGGCCUGAGAGGGUGACCGGCCACAUUGGGACUGAGAUACGGCCCAGACUCCUACGGGAGGCAGCAGUGGGGAAUAUUGCACAAUGGGCGGAAGCCUGAUGCAGCAACGCCGCGUGCGGGAUGACGGCCUUCGGGUUGUAAACCGCUUUCGCCCGUGACGAAGCGUGAGUGACGGUAAUGGGUAGAGAAGCACCGGCUAACUACGUG
This 468-nucleotide ribosomal RNA is filed under the name uncultured bacterium. RNAcentral's name for it is "partial 16S ribosomal RNA". It matches the Rfam family "Bacterial small subunit ribosomal RNA", at positions 28 to 507 of the family's 1533-position model. The record is from RNAcentral.